Molecule: small RNA, 129 nt
Filed under: Arabidopsis thaliana (thale cress)
Lineage: Eukaryota; Viridiplantae; Streptophyta; Magnoliopsida; Brassicales; Brassicaceae
Description: ATSL010730
Source: RNAcentral
UAUUAUCUAAUAUUUAGCGGACAGCUCUUGAGAUUUGUUUGGAACAUGAUCAAGUUUUGUUGUUAUCUAGACUUUACUCUUCCAAGGCCAAAUUUGCUUGAGAUUUAUUUGGCUCAUUACUCUUCAUCA